Molecule: non-coding RNA, 66 nt
Organism: Rhipicephalus microplus (southern cattle tick)
Lineage: Eukaryota; Metazoa; Arthropoda; Arachnida; Ixodida; Ixodidae
Source: the annotation of a RefSeq genome assembly
CAGAAAAUAAUAUAUAGUAUUAGUAUGCAAGUUUUGGAGAUUUGUUGAGAUAUUAAUCUUUUCUGA